CUCGAAAACACUUGUUUUCAAAUCGUGAUCGUUUCUAUUAAAUCGUCAAUUCAAAUCGUUUCUAUGUUUACAAAUAAAUAAAUCAAUUUUAUUAUACUUACGUGUGCACAGAACAAUUUGGAGUGCUUCAUGUGAAAACAGCAACAACACAGUGCUCAUUGGGGAUCAUAGCAUUCCGACACACCAGAAACAUUUAGGCCUGAAAAUAUUUCGACUAAAACAGAGAUAUACAUAUGAAUGUACACGAAGUAUCUUCUAAUGCAGUUUUUAUGAUAUUCGUUUUGAUUGUAAUUAAACGCACGCAACGGGGAUAGACCGACCGAAAAUUCACCCGUUCGCCUGCGCCAUCUGAGGCAUGCGACUAGCGCUGAGACGCGACUUUCAGCACGCAAUGCAAGUGGGUCAUAUACGAGUACUCGUCGAAAAGACUGUGGGCACCAAAUAAGUGUAUGUGAUAUACUGCUAGAAAAGUGAAUGUGUUCGAAAGCUCAGCGAGAAGUUGUUUUGUAAACAAUUUUAUUGCCUCUGAAUUUAUGGAUUUAUCAUGAGGUUGGUGGUAGGAGGUGGUGGGACGAAUGGAAAAUACAGUGAUACAAAUACAAUGAAGAGCAUAAUAUUGUGGAGUUGUUUACAACAAUUUACAUAAUAGCUUUUUGAUACAAAAACAAAUAAAGAAUUGAAGCAUUAUUUCAAUUACUUCAAUUCUCCAAAGUGCGUUGGUAUAUACAGUAAAAGUGUUACAGGUAUUUUUUUUCAAUCACGCAUAGUUUUCUUGAUUUUAUUGUAUACUAUGCCGAAAAGUAAAAAUACUUAGAACAAAUCCCAAAUAAGUUUCUUAUCGACGAAGUAGUCAACCGUUGAUGGUCCAAUAAAAACUAACAUUAACCAAAGAGGACUAUUCAGAGUCGUGGAAAAUUAAGGCAUUAUCUACCUUAAAAUCCUACAUAAGGUAUAGGCGUCAAUAAAUGUUACUCUUUUAACUGCUAUCACACGUCAACUUGAAUCAAUUUAUAGCCCUCGGAUCGCAUUCGCCAGAAUUUUGAGCAUCUUGUGACUUUAGCCAAAUUUUCAUUAUAUGAUUAUAUUAUUUAUCUAUAUAGUUCAGAUACUCAGUAAAUUUGUUAAAUGGGUUGAGAAAAGUACUUAGGAGCGUCUAAUCUAGUUUACAUUAAUUUUGAAACUCCAUUAUGCCUUUGUAAUUAAAUUAAAUGAGAAAUUAUUCAGCCCUUCAAGUGUAAUUAAGUAAAAUUGAGUACACUUCAUAAUAUACAAAAUAUUCGAUACAAGAACAUGAUUUUGAUUGGUUAGUUUGUAUGGCAGCUAUAUACUAUAGUUAUCCGAUCUGAAAAAUUUGUUUGGAAUUUGUACCGUUGUCAUGGGCACCAACCCAUGCCAAUUUCUUGAAGACAUCUUGUCAAAUAAAAAUGUUUUCUUACAAGGACUGAAGCUACAUGCUACGGCUAUAGUCCGAUUUAAACAAUUUUCUCGGAAAUCGUAUGGUUGCCUUAAGCAAUAAUCCUUGCUAAAUUUCGUGGAUAUAUCUCGUCAAAUAAAAAGUUUUCCAUGCAUACUUACCAAACUACCUGUUCAGGGUAUAAAGCUACAAAAGCUUAAUUUGAUAUAGAGGAUCACCGUGAGGUAGGGCGUCUGUGGUUUAAAAUAUGUAUAUAUCUCACAAACUACAUUGAACUUACUGAAGAAAUUUCCCUCUAUUACUUCUUUAUACAGUGUAAUAAUGGUUGAAACGGUUAAGUUCAACUAUUCAUAUAACGGUUAUGUCCAAAACUACUUAAAAUUUGGGCAAUGACCGUCCACUUUCAGAAGAAAUCCCAUAUCUCCGCAACUAAUCUAACAAAAUGUGCGAAAUCGGAUCACAACCACUCCUACUCAUCAAAUAACAUAAUAUCAAAUUCUUUCAGAUUUAUCCAUCCAAUAUAUAAAUGAGGCAUCAACUAAGAUAUUUGAAUAAAUCUUUGAGCAAAUAUUGCUUUCAAGGUGUGUCACAUCUUUGCUUAAAGUAAUCGAAAUCGAACUAUAACUAUAACAGAACUAAAUAUGAGGGCUCUAGUGCCUAUAUCUGGGUUUUUAUCGAAAAUAUCGAUUAAUCUGUGAGAUAUCUUAAGGCAUCUCAGAGGUCAUCCUUUCCUGAUAAUAAUGUGCUCUUUUAAAAAAAUCGAGUCAAUAACCCCAUAUUCUUACCUAUUUAACGUUUUUCAUUAUUCUGGUUGGCUUUAUUAUUAUUUAUAAUUAUUUUGAUACUAUUAACCCUACCCCAAACAAAUUGCGGAAGGUAGACGUGAAUUUUCGACUUUAUAUAGUUUUCACUGAUUUCAUAAUAAAUCUAAGUGUUAUUGAAACAAUAAAAUUUGAUGUAAUUUAAAUGUUCCGUUAAUUAUAUUAGGGUAAUUCUGCUUAAUUUUAAAGAAGGCGCUUCUUUAUUAACUUUAUCAUCUCACACAUUCACGAAUUUGAAAAAGAUAAUAUAUACAUAGAACAUAUGUAUGGUAAAUUUCUUUCGAACUUAAUCCGAAUUCACUAAAACUUUACCUUGAGUUACUUCCAACCUAUCAGCAAAAAGACUGUUAUAUGUGUGGUUGACAUCGAAAACGUCAAUUGUAAUAUAUAAGAACAAAGUGUAAUGUUCUGCAACGCAUCCUAAAUAUUUUUGACAUAUCAUCAUAUUAUAUUUUGAAACAUAUUAAACUGGUAGUCGAUAAGCAGUGACAGAGUGAAAUCGCGCAACACAAAUAAAGUUGAAGCUUUUUGAUAUAUGUAUUCAUCAUAUGGGGGAGUGAGACUUUAAAGCUUGUUGUUUUAUUAAUUUAUACUAAAUUUGCAAUAUACAGAGAUUAUGGCAAAUAAUGUACUUAUGAUGGCAAGAAUAUUAUAUUGUAUAUUUGCCUAUAUAUUGUAUAUUAAUUUGUGUUGGAAAAUAUUUUUUAUGAAACGGAAGAAAUUUUCUAUAAUUAAACUACAUAUUUGGUUAUAACUUUAACGCUCGCAAAAACAGCUUAUUGGGAAAGUAAGCUUCAGCAGUAAAUGUUUUUGCAACGUCAAAUUUAUACCACGCAUCUUUUUGCAAUAUUAUUUGACGUUGCAUACCGACGAUAUAUAAAUACUGUAAUCAUACUGUAUCGAUACUUUGCAGUAUGAUCUUUGUUUCCACUUAACCGUGCGGUUCAAGGUUAGCUUUAUUUAUAAGUUUCAAUAGUAACUCCAGUAAUUAAUUUAUGUUUCUUUUAUGCGUGUAUGUGUAUAUGUAGGUUCGUAAAAAUCUAAUACGGUUUACUGACAUUCAAAUUUCUCGGCACUGACCUUGGGCGAAUCGUUUUAUAAAUUCGAUGAUGCACAGCCCAAUAGCACGAGCAGAGGCACAACAACUGGUUGAAUGGCCGAACGGUCAAUGCCGUUUUCUGCCCACUACAAGCGCUCUCAUCUUCUCAGGUGGCUAGCGUUUCUACUAGACCGCAUCCCCGGUAUACGCAAUCACUUUUGAUUAUUACGAAACACACGAAAGAUUGAUGCCAAUGACUUUCAGUGUGCCACAGCGCACGAACGGGCGACAAUAAACGGCUGCAAAAUUCAAAAUGGGAGAGAAGUCUGUGAGAGAAUAAAAAUUUGUUCAAAUGCUCCUGACAAUUAGCAUUGUGGGAAUAUAUACAAAAUUUUAACUGAAAAACUCGGAGCGAAUGAGUAAAUAAUUGUUACGAUAAGCGUGCUCGGACGGAAAGUAUCCAAAUAUUUAAAAAACGAUUACGCAUGGAAUACUAGUACCUAUGUACAUAUCUAUGUAUAUACAAAAGUAUGGUCUUAAAAAUAUACGAAGCUUUAAAAAACUGGUGACAAAAUAAUAAAUUUGUAUGUCAUGGCUUUUUGAGGUCAGCAUAUACAUAUGUCAAUCUAGGUAUACAUAUUUGUAAGUAAUCGUACAAGCGGUUAGAGUAAAAAAAUUAAUCACAACAAAAAAGCGAAAGCUGCUAAGCAGUGGCAAAUUUUAGUUAAAGAUACAGAAUGCCGAAAGCUAUACGAUGUCAAAACAAAGCAAAGUGCCAUCUAAUAGCACAAUGGGGCUUUCAGGUUUCCCCCCUCUAGAAAAAGAAUGAAUAAAUUUUAAGUAAAUAUUUCUAGUUCAGAUACCAAGCGGUGACGGUGACAGCAGCGAUGUCCAUUGCCCAGUCAGCCCACGCGAGGAGGAUACAGAUAAGAGGAUUUUCGGCGACCCAUGCUUAAUAAUAAAUAAAUUUUAAGUGUAACAACUUUUAUUAAAACAUUAAAAAAAAUGUUAUCCAAUAGAUAAAGUGUUUUAUAAAAAUAAUUUUAUAUAAAUUAAAGCAAAGCUAAUUGCAUAUAAAUUUAAAUAAGUUUUACAUAUACACAAUGUCAUCCGAAACUGUUAUGCGAUGUAUAAAAUGAAAACAUCGAUUUUUGGGAAAUAUCGACUACUGCGUUCGAAAUUUAACGAUGUAUUACAUUAAAUCAAUAAUCAAGAACAA
Molecule: long non-coding RNA, 4493 nt
Organism: Bactrocera oleae (olive fruit fly)
Lineage: Eukaryota; Metazoa; Arthropoda; Insecta; Diptera; Tephritidae
Source: RefSeq, a predicted model, not a curated record